This 269-nucleotide ribosomal RNA is filed under the name uncultured prokaryote. RNAcentral describes it as "partial 16S ribosomal RNA". It matches the Rfam family "Bacterial small subunit ribosomal RNA", at positions 524 to 792 of the family's 1533-position model. The record is from RNAcentral.
GACGAAGGUGGCGAGCGUUGUUCGGUAUCACUGGGCUUAGAGCGUGUGUAGGCGGAAGAGUAAGCGUCAUGUGAAAUCCCCCGGCUCAACCGGGGAAUUGCACGGCGAACUGCUUUUCUUGAGGCAAGUAGGGGUGCAUGGAACUCUUGGUGGAGCGGUGGAAUGCGUAGAUAUCAAGAGGAACGCCGGUGGUGAAAACGGUGCACUGGGCUUGUCCUGACGCUGAGACACGAAAGCGUGGGGAGCGAACGGGAUUAGAUACCCGCGUA